AUUGACGCCAUGAGCGCGCUGCUGCGGCUGCUGCGCACGGGUGCCCCAGCCGCUGCGUGCCUGCGGUUGGGGACCAGUGCAGGGACCGGGUCGCGCCGUGCUAUGGCCCUGUACCACACUGAGGAGCGCGGCCAGCCCUGCUCGCAGAAUUACCGCCUCUUCUUUAAGAAUGUAACUGGUCACUACAUUUCCCCCUUUCAUGAUAUUCCUCUGAAGGUGAACUCUAAAGAGGAAAAUGGCAUUCCUAUGAAGAAAGCACGAAAUGAUGAAUAUGAGAAUCUGUUUAAUAUGAUUGUAGAAAUACCUCGGUGGACAAAUGCUAAAAUGGAGAUUGCCACCAAGGAGCCAAUGAAUCCCAUUAAACAAUAUGUAAAGGAUGGAAAGCUACGCUAUGUGGCGAAUAUCUUCCCUUACAAGGGUUAUAUAUGGAAUUAUGGUACCCUCCCUCAGGUAACAUUUUUCUUACAAUGGUAAAACGUUCCUGUCUUCUGAAAAAAUUGCCUUAUAAAUCCUGUGAACUACUGAAUUUAAAUUGGUUCUGAGGACAUGUCAUUUGGAGAGGUUUGUAAAUUUGGAAUUUAUUAACGUGGAUGGAGUUUUAGUAUAUCAAUAAAUUUUGUUUUAAACCAUG
RNAcentral lists this small RNA (631 nucleotides) under Pan troglodytes (chimpanzee). RNAcentral's name for it is "retained intron". The record is from RNAcentral. Lineage: Eukaryota; Metazoa; Chordata; Mammalia; Primates; Hominidae.